Stegostoma tigrinum is the source of this 3388-nucleotide long non-coding RNA. RefSeq lists it as uncharacterized. NCBI's taxonomy places the organism in Eukaryota, Metazoa, Chordata, Chondrichthyes, Orectolobiformes, Stegostomatidae. The record is from RefSeq and is a predicted model, not a curated record. The transcript is spliced from 4 exons.
GAUUGUAAGUGAGAACAGGAUCAAAUAACAUCACAGUUCAUCGUUGGGUUGGAUAGUGGUGAAUUGAUGCUUUUACAUGUUACAGAUAAGCUGCAUGGAUACAUUAUGUUCUAGAUGAAAAGCAAAGAUCCAAAGCAACUUCUUCUUUUCUACCCCAAUCAUUGCAAGAAGCUUGAUCGUUACUUACAAACUGACAUCAGGAAUCGGGACAGACAGGCACAGAGAAAGAGACAGACACAUACAGGCAGACACCGAGAGCGCAAGGCAGUCACGGACAGACGCAGAGAUAGACCCUGAAAGACAGCUCGGUGGGACGGAGGUAGUUGCGAAGCGAAGGCCGCGGGGCUUCCCUUCAACCAAUACCUUUCACACUUUUCCUGUUGACAUCAGCUCCUUUCUGCAGAAGGUAAUCGGCGAUCUCCCGAUGACCCUUGUAGCAGGAGAUCAUGAGGCAGGUAUGGCCGUGCCUGUUGGCUACCUCCAUGUCAGCGCGGUGCUCGAUCAGGUACCUGACGAUAUCCAAGUGACCGUCGAAGCAAGCAGCCCGCAGCGGGGUCGAGUUGGUCAGAGUGGUGUUGUUGACCGAAGCUCCGUGUUCGAGCAGAGACCGCACCACGGUGAGGUGGCCGGCGGCCGAGGCAGCCCACAGAGGCGGCGCCCCCUCGAUGGUUUCGCCGUCGAAACUGACCGAGCCGCCGAGCUCCACAUCGGCGCCGCACUGCUCCAGCAGGUUCCUUCGCUCACAGUCCACACCGACCAACUUUUUUUUUGUUUUAAAUACCACUACCAGCCUAAAGGUAAAUUCACACAGUAGAAGAGCCGACGAAAAGCACCGCCGGGCUAACUUUAUUAGCGGAAGUUGAACUUUUUCUUCAAUUGAAAAGCAUCAUGGCUGACGCGCCGAGGAGUCUGAGCUGGAAACCCACGGAGCACGACCCAUUAUGACGAGACUGGUUUCUAUGGCGUCCACGAGCCAAUGGCACGAUAGGAGAGUUGUAGGGGCGGAGUCUCUGGUAGAGGUCAGCCGCAAAGACGUUCAAAACGCCAGGCGUUUCAAAAUGUGCCUGCUGGGCGGGCUACAUCACAAAAUGGACACAGCAUCGAAAGAAACAAAGUUGCCAUUGGACAACAACAUAGAUAUCAAAGUGGACUUUGCAGUGCCCAAAAACACUGAAGCUGAUACAGAAAGAUUUGCUUUAGGAAUACUUCAUGGGAAGAUCAUGAGUGAUUCAUUUGAAAAAUCUCUUCGAUUGACAGGCAUGCCUCUUAUUUUAUGAUUGUAAUCAAUGUAAUCAAUGAGGUGAUUGAAAGAGGGAAAGAUACAAUCCUCAGAGAUAGUAAGAACUGCCAAUGCUGGAGUCUGAGAUUACACGAUGUGGAGCUGGAGGAACACAGCAGGCCAGGCAGCAUCAGAGGAGCAGGAAAGCUGAUGUUUCAGUUAAUGAUCUGAUUGUGUGAAGGAAACGAGGAACCUUGUCUACUACAAGCAUCAAAAGAACUGUUGACACUACUCGGAAAAUCGUGUACACUUACCCUGAGAUGAGAUUCCUCCAUACUACUAGUUUAUAUUCAGCCUACAAAUGAUCAUCUAUGAAUACUGUGUUUAAGAUCUUUCAGAACAGAUAUCAGAUACAGGGUUUUAGUUUUUUUUGUUGUCUAAUUUCACAAAACUUUCUUCUUACAACUACUGAUUACCUUCCCAAAGCAGAUUUAUAUUUUGAUUCCUGAAAACUGAAUGAAUCGGAAUAAUGACUCAGAUUGAUUAGCUAGUGGUUUAUAUUACAAGACAUGAUAUAAACAUAAAAUGCACAAUGCUUAUCAAUACAAUGUCUUGUAUUUUCAAUAAUUUAUGCAUUUGUAACAAAUUGUGUUUGCAUUGAUACAAAAUAAAAUCAAGCACUCAUUGUUUCAGAAUUUACAGUGCAACGUGAACAUUUUUAAUUAAAUGAAAGUUUUAAACACAAGAACUUAUUCCAAGUACAUAUUUCAAUAGUUAUUAUUCUAUUAUUACUCAUCAGGCUUGUAAUUGUCAGAUGGAAUAUCACAAUCGGUUUUAUGCCAAGAAGUAAGCUUACAUACAAAUAUCCAUCAGUGUACACUCAAUGGUGUGGGUACUUAAAACUGUGCAUAACCAAACUUCUAAUUAUUUAAAUGGGCAAUUAAUGUUAAAUACAGGGAAAUGGCAUAAGAAAAAUAAUCAAAUUCUUAGAUGGGCAGCAUUAAACCUACAAUUUUUUAAGCACAAAAUAUCAGCAAAAUCAAUUGAAGCUCUCAAUUAAUAGAUUUAUCACUGCCCUGCGCCUGCUUGUUGAAGUCUGGAGAUUGAUUACAAUUAAAAAAAAAUUCUGCUCUUUCCUUAAAGAAAGCAACAUCUAUAAAGGUCUGACCCUAAACACAAUAUAUAGAUUUUUUUAAAAUCAACUCCAUUCAGUGAGAAAACAUUCUAUGGAUAAUUUGUUAUCCCCAUUACGUUCCUAAGCAUAAAGAAAUUUACACCCUGCCACAUACAAAAACCCCAAAUUCCUCUGUUUUUAAUCCUUACUGGUUUGAUUUACUCAACACUUGAUUUUUUUGUUUGAGAUUACCAAGGUACACAAAACAAAGUUUCACAAAACAAAAAACAAAAAACUUUUUUAUAAAACAAUAUCUUGCCUUGAAAAGCACAUUUUUCUAACCUUACCAACCUUAUAAAAUGGUUAUUCCACUGUAAUCGUAACUGUUAGAAAACCAUGACAACUUAAAGGGGCUUUUUAAAACAGGCAAAACAUUAACAAGAUGUAACCUGACUAGAUUUAUUUUGAAAUACUGUCAUUUAUGCACAACCUUGUGCAAUGGAAAAGGUACAAAAAAUGCUUCUCAAUGCAAACAGCAGUAUGCUUAAGAACUGCUAUAGUAUUUCAAAAGUUACCUCACUUUAACAAACCAAAGCACAAGUGACAAUUCAACACGAUUGCUGCUGCUUGUUUAAGAAAGGUCUUGAAACACCUGGAUGCCUAACAAACUAACAGUGAUAAGUGAAGCUAGUUGGGUUUGAAGUUAGUUUUGAUACCUUGAAGUCAAAAGAACUAUAUUUUCAAUUCUAUUGCAGCAAUGCGAGAUGUAUCACCUAUUACACAUUUCAAAAGAUGUACAAACUGGGAAUCAUGUAGCCAAGGAAAAAUAAUUAUCAAUGGCCUUGCCCUCCAGUGGACACAGCUCAUUGUGUAGUUAUCUGUUGUGACAUCCAGUUGUUGUAAACUUUUAAUAUUCUAUCUUCAAAUAUCUGAUCUGCUAAAUAAUCCAAAGUGAUGAGAAAAUCAGCUCAAGAAGGAUUUUAAUCUUAACAGUUUUCUUGAACUUAAUCUUCGAACACACAAGAUACUGAACUGAAAACUGUCAGGUACUGUUU